GAUCCUGACUCAGGAUGAACGCUGGCGGCGUGCCUAAUACAUGCAAGUAGAACGCUGAAGGAAGGAGCUUGCUCUUUCCGGAUGAGUUGCGAACGGGUGAGUAACGCGUAGGUAACCUGCCUGGUAGCGGGGGAUAACUAUUGGAAACGAUAGCUAAUACCGCAUAACAAUAGAUGUUGCAUGACAACUAUUUGAAAGGGGCAAUUGCUCCACUACCAGAUGGACCUGCGUUGUAUUAG
RNAcentral lists this ribosomal RNA (239 nucleotides) under uncultured bacterium. RNAcentral describes it as "partial 16S ribosomal RNA". It matches the Rfam family "Bacterial small subunit ribosomal RNA", at positions 15 to 244 of the family's 1533-position model. The record is from RNAcentral.